GGUUAAGCGACUAAGCGUACACGGUGGAUGCCCUGGCAGUCAGAGGCGAUGAAGGACGUGCUAAUCUGCGAAAAGCGUCGGUAAGGUGAUAUGAACCGUUACAGCCGGCGAUGUCCGAAUGGGGAAACCCAGUGCAAUUCGUUGCACUAUCGUUUGAUGAAUACAUAGUCAAACGAGGCGAACCGGGGGAACUGAAACAUCUAAGUACCCCGAGGAAAAGAAAUCAACCGAGAUUCCCCCAGUAGCGGCGAGCGAACGGGGAGCAGCCCGGAGUCUGAAUCAGCUUGUGUGUUAGUGGAAGCGUCUGGAAAGUCGCAGGGUACAGGGUGAUACUCCCGUACACUAAAACGCACAGGUUGUGAACUCGAAGAGUAGGGCGGGACACGUGGUAUCCUGUCUGAAUAUGGGGGGACCAUCCUCCAAGGCUAAAUACUCCUGACUGACCGAUAGUGAACCAGUACCGUGAGGGAAAGGCGAAAAGAACCCCGGCGAGGGGAGUGAAAAAGAACCUGAAACCGUGUACGUACAAGCAGUAGGAGCCCACUAGUUGGGUGACUGCGUACCUUUUGUAUAAUGGGUCAGCGACUUAUAUUCUGUAGCAAGGUUAACCGUAUAGGGGAGCCGCAGGGAAACCGAGUCUUAACUGGGCGUUAAGUUGCAGGGUAUAGACCCGAAACCCGGUGAUCUAGCCAUGGGCAGGUUGAAGGUUGGGUAACACUAACUGGAGGACCGAACCGACUAAUGUUGAAAAAUUAGCGGAUGACUUGUGGCUGGGGGUGAAAGGCCAAUCAAACCGGGAGAUAGCUGGUUCUCCCCGAAAGCUAUUUAGGUAGCGCCUCGUGAAUUCAUCUUCGGGGGUAGAGCACUGUUUCGGCUAGGGGGUCAUCCCGACUUACCAACCCGAUGCAAACUACGAAUACCGAAGAAUGUUAUCACGGGAGACACACGGCGGGUGCUAACGUCCGUCGUGAAGAGGGAAACAACCCAGACCGCCAGCUAAGGUCCCAAAGUCAUGGUUAAGUGGGAAACGAUGUGGGAAGGCCCAGACAGCCAGGAUGUUGGCUUAGAAGCAGCCAUCAUUUAAAGAAAGCGUAAUAGCUCACUGGUCGAGUCGGCCUGCGCGGAAGAUGUAACGGGGCUAAACCAUGCACCGAAGCUGCGGCAGCGACACUAUGUGUUGUUGGGUAGGGGAGCGUUCUGUAAGCCGUUGAAGGUGGCCUGUGAGGGUUGCUGGAGGUAUCAGAAGUGCGAAUGCUGACAUAAGUAACGAUAAUGCGGGUGAAAAACCCGCACGCCGGAAGACCAAGGGUUCCUGUCCAACGUUAAUCGGGGCAGGGUGAGUCGACCCCUAAGGCGAGGCCGAAAGGCGUAGUCGAUGGGAAACAGGUUAAUAUUCCUGUACUCGGUGUUACUGCGAAGGGGGGACGGAGAAGGCUAUGUUGGCCGGGCGACGGUUGUCCCGGUUUAAGCAUGUAGGCGGAUGUUCCAGGUAAAUCCGGAACGUUACUAACGCUGAGGUGUGAUGACGAGGCACUACGGUGCUGAAGUGACAAAUGCCCUGCUUCCAGGAAAAGCCUCUAAGCAUCAGGUAACAUCAAAUCGUACCCCAAACCGACACAGGUGGUCAGGUAGAGAAUACCAAGGCGCUUGAGAGAACUCGGGUGAAGGAACUAGGCAAAAUGGUGCCGUAACUUCGGGAGAAGGCACGCUGAUGGUAGGUGAAGUGACUUGCUCAUGGAGCUGAAAUCAGUCGAAGAUACCAGCUGGCUGCAACUGUUUAUUAAAAACACAGCACUGUGCAAACACGAAAGUGGACGUAUACGGUGUGACGCCUGCCCGGUGCCGGAAGGUUAAUUGAUGGGGUUAUCCGUAAGGAGAAGCUCUUGAUCGAAGCCCCGGUAAACGGCGGCCGUAACUAUAACGGUCCUAAGGUAGCGAAAUUCCUUGUCGGGUAAGUUCCGACCUGCACGAAUGGCGUAAUGAUGGCCAGGCUGUCUCCACCCGAGACUCAGUGAAAUUGAACUCGCUGUGAAGAUGCAGUGUACCCGCGGCAAGACGGAAAGACCCCGUGAACCUUUACUAUAGCUUGACACUGAACACUGGUCCUUGAUGUGUAGGAUAGGUGGGAGGCUUUGAAGUGUGGACGCCAGUCUGCAUGGAGCCAUCCUUGAAAUACCACCCUUUAAUGGCUGGUGUUCUAACGUGGGCCCCUAAUCGGGGUUGCGGACAGUGUCUGGUGGGUAGUUUGACUGGGGCGGUCUCCUCCUAAAGAGUAACGGAGGAGCACGAAGGUCAGCUAAUCCUGGUCGGACAUCAGGAGGUUAGUGCAAUGGCAUAAGCUGGCUUGACUGCGAGCGUGACGGCGCGAGCAGGUGCGAAAGCAGGUCAUAGUGAUCCGGUGGUUCUGAAUGGAAGGGCCAUCGCUCAACGGAUAAAAGGUACUCCGGGGAUAACAGGCUGAUACCGCCCAAGAGUUCAUAUCGACGGCGGUGUUUGGCACCUCGAUGUCGGCUCAUCACAUCCUGGGGCUGAAGUAGGUCCCAAGGGUAUGGCUGUUCGCCAUUUAAAGUGGUACGCGAGCUGGGUUUAGAACGUCGUGAGACAGUUCGGUCCCUAUCUGCCGUGGGCGCUGGAGAAUUGAGGGGGGCUGCUCCUAGUACGAGAGGACCGGAGUGGACGCAUCACUGGUGUUCGGGUUGUCAUGCCAAUGGCAUUGCCCGGUAGCUAAAUGCGGAAGAGAUAAGUGCUGAAAGCAUCUAAGCACGAAACUUGCCCCGAGAUGAGUUCUCCCUGACCCUUUAAGGGUCCUGAAGGAACGUUGAAGACGACGACGUUGAUAGGCCGGGUGUGUAAGCGCAGCGAUGCGUUGAGCUAACCGGUACUAAUGAACCGUGAGGCUUAACCUU
RNAcentral lists this ribosomal RNA (2906 nucleotides) under Klebsiella michiganensis. RNAcentral's name for it is "23S ribosomal RNA". It matches the Rfam family "Bacterial large subunit ribosomal RNA". Lineage: Bacteria; Pseudomonadati; Pseudomonadota; Gammaproteobacteria; Enterobacterales; Enterobacteriaceae. The record is from RNAcentral.